UGAACGCUAGCUACAGGCUAACACAUGCAAGUCGAGGGGCAGCAGGGUAGCAAUACCGCUGACGACCGGCGCACGGGUGAGUAACACGUAUCCAACCUUCCCAUAACUCAGGGAUAGCCUUUCGAAAGAAAGAUUAAUACCUGAUAGUACUUUUUCAAGGCAUCUUGAGAAAGUUAAAGAUUUAUUGGUUAUGGAUGGGGAUGCGUUCCAUUAGAUAGUUGGUGAGGUAACGGCUCACCAAGUCUUCGAUGGAUAGGGGUUCUGAGAGGAAGGUCCCCCACAUUGGUACUGAGACACGGACCAAACUCCUACGGGAGGCAGCAGUGAGGAAUAUUGGUCAAUGGGCGAGAGCCUGAACCAGCCAAGUAGCGUGAAGGAAUGAAGGUCCUAUGGAUUGUAAACUUCUUUUAUAGUAGAAUAAAGUGAUCCACGUGUGGAUUUUUGUAUGUAUACUAUGAAUAAGGAUCGGCUAACUCCGUGCCAGCCGCGGC
Molecule: ribosomal RNA, 491 nt
Filed under: uncultured bacterium
Lineage: Bacteria
Description: bacterial SSU rRNA
Rfam family: Bacterial small subunit ribosomal RNA
Source: RNAcentral